UAUGAACGCUGGCGGCGUGCUUAACACAUGCAAGUCGAACGAAGCGCUUAAACGGAUUUCUUCAGAAUGAAGUUUUUGCGACUGAGUGGCGGACGGGUGAGUAACGCGUGGGUAACCUGCCUCAUACAGGGGGAUAACAGUUAGAAAUGACUGCUAAUACCGCAUAAGCGCACAGUGCUGCAUGGCACAGUGUGGAAAACUCCGGUGGUAUGAGAUGGACCCGCGUCUGAUUAGCUAGUUGGUGGGGUGACGGCCUACCAAGGCGACGAUGCGUAGCCGACCUGAGAGGUGAUCGGCCACAUUGGGACUGAGACACGGCCCAG
This 323-nucleotide ribosomal RNA is filed under the name uncultured bacterium. RNAcentral's name for it is "bacterial SSU rRNA". It matches the Rfam family "Bacterial small subunit ribosomal RNA", at positions 29 to 334 of the family's 1533-position model. The record is from RNAcentral.